CCCAAAUCCCUGCAGGGCUGCGUCCAUCUCGAUGGCAGGAGAGGGGUUGGGAUCACAUGGAGCAUCCUUCCCCUUCUGUCCAGCAGAGCCAGCCCUGCAUUCCCAGUGGAUGGGAAGGGACACCAGUGCAGGGUCAAUAGUGAACUCCACUGAACUCCUUUGGUGCCUGUGACCAAAAAGAGCUUGAAACAUGGAAAUUCCCAUCACCAGAUGCCUGGACCAUUUAAUGGCACAGAAAUCAGGGGGUUAUGCUGCUCUUCUGCAGAAUGGGGCCAUCCUCUGCUUCCGCAGCAUCAAUGUCCAAGGAAGGCCUUGACCACCUCCAUCCUGAACCUGGCCACCCUCAGGAGGAGCCGAACAGCGACCCUGCACAGCAGCUUCAGCCACAGUCCAGCCUGUACUGCUCUUUGGCAUUCUGUAACUAGCCCUAAGUUAAGUCUGCAUUUAUGGGUUUUUUUAAUCCAUUGUGGUAAAACUGAUCACAGAAGUUGCUGAAUAAACAACAUCCAGGCGUAA
Vidua macroura (Pin-tailed whydah) is the source of this 516-nucleotide long non-coding RNA. RefSeq lists it as uncharacterized. The record is from RefSeq and is a predicted model, not a curated record. The transcript has 2 exons. Lineage: Eukaryota; Metazoa; Chordata; Aves; Passeriformes; Viduidae.